Molecule: signal recognition particle RNA, 99 nt
Filed under: Acidimicrobiales bacterium
Lineage: Bacteria; Bacillati; Actinomycetota; Acidimicrobiia; Acidimicrobiales
Description: signal recognition particle sRNA small type
Rfam family: Bacterial small signal recognition particle RNA
About the family: The signal recognition particle (SRP) is a universally conserved ribonucleoprotein involved in the co-translational targeting of proteins to membranes. Archaeal SRP consists of a 7S RNA and homologues of the eukaryotic SRP19 and SRP54 proteins.
Source: RNAcentral
GGUCGGGUCCUGUGCAACGGGAGCCCGUGAACCGAGUCAGGGCCGGAAGGCAGCAGCUCUCAGCGGUGCCUGCCGUGUGCCGCAGAUCGCCUGGCCGUC